Acanthosepion pharaonis is the source of this 100-nucleotide non-coding RNA. The record is from the annotation of a GenBank genome assembly. Lineage: Eukaryota; Metazoa; Mollusca; Cephalopoda; Sepiida; Sepiidae.
CAUUGAAACGCUGAUUCUCGUAAGAUCACCAAAGUUAAGCAACAUCGAGCCUGGUCAGUACUUAGAUGGGUGACCACUUGGGAAUACCAGGUGCUGUAAG